AGAACUUUCCAGAGAUGGAUUGGUGCCUUCGGGAACUCUGAGACAGGUGCUGCAUGGCUGUCGUCAGCUCGUGUUGUGAAAUGUUGGGUUAAGUCCCGCAACGAGCGCAACCCUUAUCCUUUGUUGCCAGCGAUUCGGUCGGGAACUCAAAGGAGACUGCCAGUGAUAAACUGGAGGAAGGUGGGGAUGACGUCAAGUCAUCAUGGCCCUUACGAGUAGGGCUACACACGUGCUACAAUGGCGCAUACAAAGAGAAGCGACCUCGCGAGAGCAAGCGGACCUCAUAAAGUGCGUCGUAGUCCGGAUUGGAGUCUGCAACUCGACUCCAUGAAGUCGGAAUCGCUAGUAAUCGUAGAUCAGAAUGCUACGGUGAAUACGUUCCCGGGCCUUGUACACACCGCCCGUCACACCAUGGGAGUGGGUUGCAAAAGAAGUAGGUAGCUUAACCUUCGGGAGGGCGCUUACCACUUUGUGAUUCAUGACUGGGGUGAAGUCGUAACAAGGUAAGCGUAGUGCU
RNAcentral lists this ribosomal RNA (517 nucleotides) under uncultured bacterium. RNAcentral's name for it is "bacterial SSU rRNA". It matches the Rfam family "Bacterial small subunit ribosomal RNA", at positions 992 to 1509 of the family's 1533-position model. The record is from RNAcentral.